This is a small nucleolar RNA of Dendrobium catenatum, 107 nucleotides long. The record is from RefSeq and is a predicted model, not a curated record. NCBI's taxonomy places the organism in Eukaryota, Viridiplantae, Streptophyta, Magnoliopsida, Asparagales, Orchidaceae.
AAUCCUUAGUGAGGAAACUUCCUAAGAUAUUCUUUGAAUCUUUUCCAAGCCUCAUAAAUAGAUUCACCAUAUAAUGGAGAAAAUGAAUUAAUGUCAUUUCUAUGUUU